This is a non-coding RNA of Poecilia reticulata (guppy), 765 nucleotides long. The record is from RefSeq and is a predicted model, not a curated record. Lineage: Eukaryota; Metazoa; Chordata; Actinopteri; Cyprinodontiformes; Poeciliidae.
CGAGUAUAACUCCCUCGCUUGUGCUUCUGCUGGAAAUGGUUGCGGAGUGUAUUUUGAGGGAAUUCAGAAAGAAGGAGCUGGAGUGAAACUGGAUAUAGUUCGAAGGAGCAUCGGGGAGGGAGAGAGAGGCUGUGUGUCUGUGCGAGUGAGUGCGCACCUUUGGAUAGGCUGUAACAGAAGAACUCUGGCAGACACAGGAGCAAGGGACCGUGAGAGGACAGGAGAGACGACACAAAGGGGUUUGGACAGACUUAACGCCAGAAACAGCAUGCAGCAAAUACCGCCAAUGUGCAAAAGAGAUGAGCGGCGACUUUUAUUCACAUCUUUCAAACGGGUCAUACCUCGGAUAAGGCAGGACUAAGAGGGCUCUUCUUUCACCAGCAGGAAGAGAAGAGGCACCCCCAAAAGUGUCCCGUCAGCAUUUGCAAGGAAAUGCCAGUCUCACUAUUAGCUGCAGCAGCAGCCACAGAGUCAGCUGUCGCCUCUGAAACGCAACACCGCCUCCGAUUGUGCUGAGAGAGCUCAGGAGAAGAGGCCCGGCGCUGCUCUUGGAUCUGCUGUCCAGGUCUGAAGGUGACUCGUUGGCUGGGCCAGAGGCUGCAACACAGGACAUGGGUCCUGCCUCUUCCUACCACUCGUGUCUUGUGUUGCAGCCAGUGGAGCUGCCUGCUUUGACUGUCCGCUGCCCUGUCUGCCCUGCUGAUGAUGGACUGAGUCUCUGGAACAUAGGAAUCCUAUCAAGUCACAGAUUUUCUGACCAGAAUC